CCUGCUGAGCCGGCUGGCUCGGCCUCGGGAGGGGCUCAGAAUGACGAGGGAGAUCCAUCCCCUCGCGUGGCUUCACCUGUCACCGAGCACAGCCAAACUCCUUCCUCUUCACCUGUGAGCUAGGGCCAUCUGCUGUCUCUGGCAUUGGCUGGUUGUUCCUGGUGACCUCUGGAUUUCUUGGAGGUGCAAGAAGAGUCCUGGGUGGGAGCCUGGAUUUUCCUGGAGCAACAGUCCUCAGAAUGAAUAUUGACUACACAUGCUGUGUUGAAAUGUUCAAGUCCCAGUAUAUGCAGGUGCCUUUCUCUCCAUAGAGAGGAGACACAAAAAGCAAAGGACAAACACAUCAGAGAGACACCUGAACCUUGAAAAUUUUUCUCUUCUUAAGUGGAACAUGUGAUCAAGACAGAGUCCCACCACCAAAAGUCCUGCUUUACCUGGGAGGAUGAGUUACCUUGCCCCGGCCUGUGCUUUCCUGUCUCCUUUGAAGGUGCCCCAGCCGCCCAGCUGCUGGACUCAGUCCCCUCCCAUGUGUGGCCCAUGACGACUCGUCCUCUCCCCUUCACCAAGACCCCUUGAUUUGUCCCUCGACAGGGAAAUUUGAAGAUAAAUUUGUAGGGCUCAGAGAUGCUGCGGAACCCCAUGAGGCAUCUGGAAGAAGAAUGGCAACUUCUUUAUCUGAACUCCUCAAAAGGAGAGCAGUGUGAGGAAAAAGUGCUUGCUACCAGUUACUCCACAACAAUGCAGGUGUCUAAUUCCUCAGACGGCAACUUCUCUCAGCUGCUUCAGGCCUCUGUAACAGGAACCAUUCAGUGUACAACAAGCAGUGAUCCAGCAGGCCAUGUGAAGAGCUGCCCUGGGUCUGGGAGGAAGUCCCUAGCAGGACAAUUCCCGUGUCAGCUGUGGCAUCUUGGGCGGUCAUCUGCAUGGCAGAGCGACAUGGGGUCAUCAGACACCCAGCAUGAGGUCUUCCUGCGGUCUUCCCGUGAGGGCCUUUGACAAGGACCCUCCAGUCUAGAGAGUGUGCCUCCUUUAUCCACCGAUCUUAAGGCGCAGGUAAAGCGUCAGGCCCACCGUCUGUACACUCAGUAGAGUCCUUUGGUGGCAUUUUCCCACAAAGAACAACUGUAACAAAAGUCCAACAGUUACUGAAGAGAAAUACUGAGAACGUCAAGAAGCAGGUGCCAAGCCGAACAUAGAUAUGCUUACCACGUCUAAGGGCCCUUUCCUCCUAGACAGCCUUGGCACCUGGCCUGUUCCAAUUUCCAGGUGGAAGCCAAGUCUCUUCAGCUGCCUCUCUCCUGCCCUAACUUAACCUUCUGUACUCUGUUGUCACUCAGUAAAUACAACUGCCACUUUCCCGACACUAGUUACUGGGGAAACAUGAUCUCGAUAAACUCCCAGAACACUUGUGUUUAGCAUAGUAUAUUUUGGGAUGGUUUUUAAUGUGUGUUGUGUGUUGGGGUGUGUAUACACAUGAGUGCAGUUGCUCAUGCAGGACAGUCAUUGGAUUCCCCUGUUGAUGGAGUUACAGGAGAUUGUGAGAUGCCAAAUAUGGGUCCUGGGAAGUGAACUCAGAUCCUCAGCAAGAGCAACCAGGACUCUUAACUGCUGAGUCAUCUCUCCAGUCCUACCUAGUAUUCUAUUAAUAACAAUAAAUAAUAACAGACAAGACUUCUUAGUUACCAAGAGAGAAGUGAAAUAAGAAUAGAUUUUUUUUCUACCUGUUAAUUUUUCAUUUGUUAAUUUUUGAGGUGAAAAACACAUGUGGGUUGUCACUAUAGGCAGCACUGGAUAAAGCUUUGCUUGAUAAGAGUGAUUCUGACCAUGGGCUUUGUGCUAAAGAGCUCCUGGAGAGAGUUACUAUCAUUUUCAUCCAAGUCAGAAAUAAAACACUUGGAACUAAGAAAACAGACAUAACCUACCACAUUCUCGGCACUGUAAUGAGCAAUGCCUGGUUCUAAAACUUCCCUAAAGCUGACUUGCUGGAAAGAUGAUGCCAUUUCUUUUGAGAACUCACAAAUGGGAAUAUACACUUUUUAUGACCUUUUGUAAAUUUCGAUUUUUAUCAAUAAAAGAGGGCAAGAAAAGGAGUCUUCCUAGUGCCUGGCUCAGUGCUGAGAAGGCCAACCCUUCUUGGUAUCUAUGGAGAAGCUCCCUGUGAGGAGCUGGCCUCCAGGACAGGACGCUAGGUGGGUAAGCUUUUCUGCAGCUUCCAGGAGUUCCUGAACUAGGAUGGUGUGGGCACUUGUGUUGCAUCUAUGUUGGGUGACAGAGAAGAGAGAAAUACGGAGACCCACAUAAGGGAAAAACGUUGAGAAGAGUCAAGUUAGAAGUGGCUCUGAGUGGAGCUAGUGUGUCAUUUUCUCUCUGCGGGCUUGUUGGCUUUACAGACUUUCAUGGAGCACAUGUUUAGUUCCUCCACACUACUAAAGUAAUGGGGACCCUGCGGUGAGAUGGAGCUAGUUGCUUGAAAGCAACUGGUCACCAUUGCUUUCCUGCAAACUUGUACCUUUCCCAUAGCCCCCAUUCACCAAGGUGGAGGGGAGUCCUCUAAGGGGCUUUCCCAGACCUCAAAAGGCAAGGCCUGACUUCAAUUCACCUCUUUUAACAAUUUCGGAGACAUUAAAAUAACUUCCGUAAUUUACAUGCAUUUUAUUUUUAUUUUUUCCUUUCCAUUCUACCACUUUGUAGAAUUUACCCUAUGAAACACAAGAAUGCACAAAUGUAUUUCAAAAUUCAAAGGUCCUCUGAUUAGAGUUAUCUUGUACACAGGAGAGUAACUGCUGUUCAUGGCUGGAGUUCUUCAGAGAGCUGGAAGCUUGGUUUGCAUAGAUGCUUUAUAGGUGAUAGAUCUGAAUGCUGUUUUCUGAUGGUUGAGUAAUGGCCCUAGGUGUGGGGCCCAUGUUAGCCAGAACACAAAACCCCCAGAUUUGCCUGUGGAGAUGAAGGUGCAAAGAAAAGGAAGAGACUUCAGGGAAAGGAGGCGGCAGCAACUCUGGAUACUCAGCCUUCAGGUGGCCACAACUUUACCUGGAGGGAUUUUGUUUUUUUGUUUUUGUUUGUUUGUUUGUUUUGUCUUUUUGUAAGUGGAUAACUUGGAUUCACCUGCUUCCCUCCCCAGGGAUUUUCUCUUUUAUCCAGAACUUCAAGAUCCCAUGAAAGUCUGUAGAUAUAUAAUAUCCUUACAGUCACUUGAUGGAAAUAUUCUCAUCACCUCCAGGAGGGUGUUUUCACUUCCCCAAACUUGUCACAUUUGACAUUAAUCUUAAAAGCCCAUUAUAUAGUCACCCUCCUUCCUCUGACCUGCAGUGACACCAUAUCUUCUCUCAAAUCAAAUCCAGACUUCAGAACCCUAUGGCAAAGGGCUGAGAAAAUGCCAACAGAUAUGGUUGAAUGACUUUCUGCCAUGUUCCUGUCAGCAUGCUCUACAUUAACAUGCUGUUCUUAAUCACCCCAAAACCUGAGGACUCUGUGGGAAUUAGGAGUGACGCUUGAAAACCAAGUAUGGUCAUCUCCUCCUCAACACUUUAAGAUAAUCCUGUUGGAACAGCUUGAGUGGAUCAUCACCUAAGAUGAAAAGCAAGCACAUGACUGAGGGAGCAUCCCAUUCCUUGAUCCAGCAUGGACAAGAAGCAUGAAAGGAAAUGGAGUCUACUUUAGCUAGGCUAGCUAGGCACCUCUGUAAUCCCAGUUGAGGCAGGAAGAUCACAAGUUUGAGAUCAAAGUGAGCUACAUAGUGAAUUUUCUUUCACAACUUAAGCCUCCCAAAACAUAAAACAAAACAAAAACACUCAACCUAAAUGACUACAAAAGGCAGCAUCUCCCCUUAAGCCUCAGAGCUUUGGGGGUCAUCGGUUGCUGCAGUCAAAUCUGGCCUAUAUGCAUGCACCAUGGUCAUCUACCCACAUAGCUUUGAUAUCUACCCUUGCGCCUUGGGCCUUACCGUUGCCCUUCCCGCUCUCAAUACCUGAUGCUUCUUGAAUUGUGAAUUUAAAUGCUUGCUGGACUUCUGAAGGGCAGUGUGGUGGUUUGAAUUCUAAUUGCCCCCAUAGGCUCGAAUGUUUGAAUGCUUGGUCUCUAGCUAGUGGAGCUGUUUGGAAAGGUUUAAGUGGUGUGGCCUUGUUGGAGAAGGUGUGACCUUAUUGAAGGUUGUGUUAUUGGGGGUCAGCUUUGAGGUCUGAUUUAUUAUUAUUGUUAUUAUUAUUAUUAUUUACAAUUUAUUCACUUUGUACCCCAGUUGUAGCCUCUGGGUCCCACCUUCUCUCCCUCUUCCUCCCCUCCCCCUCUUCCCUAGUCCACUUGUAGGGGAGUUCUCCUCCCUACUGCCUGACUGUACGGGAGGAACUUUAAGGUUUUAAAAGCCCAGGGCAGGCCUAGUUUCUCUGUCUUCAGAACAGAUGUGAGCUCUCAGCUGCUUUUCCAGCACCGUGCUUGCAUGCCUGCCUCCAUGUUUCCUGCCAUUAUCAUGACUUACCUUCUGAACUGCAAGCAAGCCCCCAAUGAAAUACCCUCCUCUUAAGUUACCUAGGUCCUGCGGUUUCCUCACAGCAACAGGACAGUAACUAAGACAGCCAGCCGGGCCUGACCAUUUCCCAUGUCCUGGUGAGGGUCAGAUUACACAGUUCCACCACAUUCCUUGGUUAAUUUUAGAUGCCGCCAUCCUGCCAUGUACCCCAGUUAUUUUCUGACUCCACCACCUAACUACAUCCCCAGGUGAUAUUCUGAUUCCCCAGGGCAUCUGUGUGCUCCCUCCAACAAUUUCUCAGCAUUGAUAUUUACAGAAAAAUAAUAAACAUAAUCCACAAUGGCGCCUGUAUCGACCCCCAGAUUCCACUGACAUUUAGGAAUAAGUGAUGGAUUGCCUUUUUUCGAGGCUGGCUGAACUGACCUGCGUGGCCUGUACAUAAUUUACUUUUGAUUAAAGGAGUGCUUCAACAUCUAGAUGCUGUUUGGGAGCAGGAGGCAGGAUCGAUACGUGUAUGACACAAACUUUCAAGCAAUGGACUGAGUGAGAAGUCUCUGUAGUCCAUUCACCUGGGGGGAGGAGGGAGAGCAUGGGGAGGGCGGCUGGGAUCCACUGUGGCACAAGAAGCUUUGCCUUAAGCAGAUUUGGGCCUGUGCUGUUGGGGAGGACAGACUGCUGAGAGCUGGGAGUGCUCCCUGGCUCAGGUACAGGAAGAAGAGUACCAGCAGCUGCCCAGGAAGAGGCAGCCUUCGAGGAUGGCAUUCUCCUCCCUUCCUUUUUCCUCUUGUCGCUCACCCUCCCAGAAGAAUAACUAUCUUUCAGACUGCUCAUCGCUUGAUUUCAAACUGGGCGCUUUUAGAAGAAAGAGGAUACCAUGCUCUGUUAGGCCACGCUCGCUGCUUCCUGGGGACAGCAAACCUCACACUGUUUUGUGUCGGCUCCUUUGGCUUCUGCCUCUGCACAGGGUACUGUGCUCCCUGCUGUAGAGAUGAAUUUCCCAGAUGUCUUCAUUGAGGGAAACUCUGCUUUUCUUCUUACUGAUAUAUCUCUGUCUGGCUACAGGGUAACUCUAUCUCAUUCAGUGUUCACAUAGAGCAGCGUGAGCCCGUGUGGUGCCUAGGACUGAACGUAGGUCCUCCGCAAAAGCAGUUGUGCUCUAACCACUGAGCCAUCUCUCCAGCUCCCAAACCUCCACUCAAUGCUGCAGAGGCACUGGCAGAGAAUAUUGUGUGAAAAGGUAGAUCUAGUCUCUGUCUUUGUGGGACUUGAAGCCUAUCAGAGAAGGGGAAAUGGGCUUUACUGAACUAUAAUGCUUUCAGAGGACAGCGACUGGCAGUUGGCAUGUACUGUGGGAUUUUGAGCAUGUAGAUUGGGUGUGUACAUUGAAUACCUUGUCUCCUUAGCCUUUCCAUAAAACGUCUCUAAGAACUCUAUCAAAAAUGAAAACCGAAUGUUAAGUUUCUCCUCUGAUCAAAUGCUCCACUCACAAUAAUUCCGUGCUUUACAUAUUUCUUUAUAUAUUACUGAAUUUAAAUGCUAGUACUUUCUUGAUAAUCCUGAGAAACCUCAGCUUCAAAACCAGAGUUUGCACAAGCACUAUGGGAUGAUGCUCCCCAGAUACCUGAGGCUCUUUGCUCUUUCUGGGCUUCACCCCUGCCUCUCCCUGAAGUAGCAUGUCUAUCUGCCUGUCUCUCCCUUUGUCCACUGAAAUGCUGUCUCCCUAUCCAGGCCUGUCUGCAAUACCACACUGGUGGUGUGGUUUCUCUGCCCAUUCCAGAAUGUUCUGACUGCCAACUUCCCAGGGCUUUUGUGCAGCCUGAUCACUCAGCUUGUCUGCAUUUGCUCAUUUGCAUUAUUUCUGCCUCUAAGUCUUGUGCAGAUUGGGGUAAUAUGUCACACACCUAAAACAGCUGCUACGUUUCUCUUCCUUCCUUUUCUUGUUACUCUGCUGUGCUUCUUUGUUACUUGUUUGCUUAAUUCUUGCUCCCCAACCUGUUAUUUUCCUUUCAAAACUGAGCUCUCUUAAAUAGCCAGCAUUACUUCCCAGAAUGCAUUACAUAGUGCCUGGGAUCUGUACUAAAAUAAAAUCUAUAAUCAUAUUA
Molecule: long non-coding RNA, 6567 nt
Organism: Meriones unguiculatus (Mongolian gerbil)
Lineage: Eukaryota; Metazoa; Chordata; Mammalia; Rodentia; Muridae
Exons: 6
Source: RefSeq, a predicted model, not a curated record